CGUCUAUAUACGUAUAGCAUAUCAAUAAGCGGAGGAAAAGAAACUAACUAGGAUUCCCUUAGUAACGGCGAGUGAAGCGGGAAGAGCUCAAAUUUGAAAUCUUCAAGGUUCUACCUUGACGAAUUGUAGUUUAAAGAAGUGUUUUCUGUUGGAAUUUUUGGUAAAAGUUCUUUGGAAUAGGACAUCAUAGAGGGUGAGAAUCCCGUAUUUGACCAUUACUUUCCAACUUUGUGAUACACUUUCAAAGAGUCGGAUUGUUUGGGAAUGCAGUCCAAAAUGGGUGGUAAAUUUCAUCUAAAGCUAAAUAUUGGCGAGAGACCGAUAGCGAACAAGUACCGUGAGGGAAAGAUGAAAAGAACUUUGAAAAGAGAGUUAAACAGUACGUGAAAUUGUCAAAAGGGAAGCGUUUGACACCAGUGUUGUUUUCUCGAAAAUCAAUUAAAAAUGGUGGGAUUUUGUGUUGUAUUGACUUUAUCAGCUUUCUGCACUUUUUUCUUGUCUUUUUUAAUGCACUAUUCGUUUAACAAGUCAACAUCAAUUUCUUUUGUUGUAAAAGGGUCAUUGGAAGGUGGCUUUCUUUUCGGAGAAAGUGUUUAUAGCCUUUGACUUCUGCAAUCGGAGAGAUUGAGGUCUGCAGCGUAGAUCCUUCGGGGUUAGAUGCAUUUGUGCUAAGUUAUAGCCUUUCAUAGACAACUUGUUGACUAUGAUCAGUCAUGUAGCUUACUCGCUUAUGUUCAUUUUACCUACGCUUAGGAUGUUGACGAUCAGCUGAGCGCG
RNAcentral lists this ribosomal RNA (777 nucleotides) under uncultured Neocallimastigales. RNAcentral describes it as "partial large subunit ribosomal RNA". It matches the Rfam family "Eukaryotic large subunit ribosomal RNA", at positions 26 to 627 of the family's 3401-position model. The record is from RNAcentral. Lineage: Eukaryota; Fungi; Neocallimastigomycota; Neocallimastigomycetes; Neocallimastigales.